Molecule: ribosomal RNA, 121 nt
Filed under: Aspergillus cristatus
Lineage: Eukaryota; Fungi; Ascomycota; Eurotiomycetes; Eurotiales; Aspergillaceae
Source: RNAcentral
ACAUACGACCAUAGGGUGUGGAAAACAGGGCUUCCCGUCCGCUCAGCCGUACUUAAGCCACACGCCGGCCGGUUAGUAGUUGGGUGGGUGACCACCAGCGAAUCCCAGCUGUUGGUAUGUU